RNAcentral lists this unclassified non-coding RNA (188 nucleotides) under uncultured Cladophialophora. RNAcentral describes it as "sequence contains ITS1". Lineage: Eukaryota; Fungi; Ascomycota; Eurotiomycetes; Chaetothyriales; Herpotrichiellaceae. The record is from RNAcentral.
ACGAGUUAGGGUCUUCUAGGCCCGACCUCCCAACCCUAUGUUUACUGUACCAACGUUGCUUCGGUGGGUCCGUCUAACGACCGCCGGGGGAUCGCCGCGAGGCCCCCCUGGCCAGUGCCCGCAGAUAGCCAAAUUUAAACCCUUAUGAAUCGUGUCUUAUGUCUAAAUCAUGAUUAAAAAUCAAAACA